GGCGGCGUGCUUAACACAUGCAAGUCGAACGAAGAGCGAUGGAAGCUUGCUUCUAUCAAUCUUAGUGGCGAACGGGUGAGUAACGCGUAAUCAACCUGCCCUUCAGAGGGGGACAACAGUUGGAAACGACUGCUAAUACCGCAUACGAUCUAAUCUCGGCAUCGAGGAUAGAUGAAAGGUGGCCUCUACAUGUAAGCUAUCACUGAAGGAGGGGAUUGCGUCUGAUUAGCUAGUUGGAGGGGUAACGGCCCACCAAGGCGAUGAUCAGUAGCCGGUCUGAGAGGAUGAACGGCCACAUUGGGACUGAGACACGGCCCAGACUCCUACGGGAGGCAGCAGUGGGGAAUCUUCCGCAAUGGACGAAAGUCUGACGGAGCAACGCCGCGUGAGUGAUGACGGCCUUCGGGUUGUAAAGCUCUGUUAAUCGGGACGAAAGGCCUUCUUGCGAAUAGUGAGAAGGAU
RNAcentral lists this ribosomal RNA (462 nucleotides) under Veillonella parvula. RNAcentral's name for it is "bacterial SSU rRNA". It matches the Rfam family "Bacterial small subunit ribosomal RNA", at positions 38 to 473 of the family's 1533-position model. Lineage: Bacteria; Bacillati; Bacillota; Negativicutes; Veillonellales; Veillonellaceae. The record is from RNAcentral.